UAAGACGAACCGAGCGAACGUUGUUCGGAAUCACUGGGCUUAAAGGGCGCGUAGGCGGCUUACCAAGUCAGGGGUGAAAUUUUGCGGCUUAACCGUAACAGUGCCUUUGAUACUGGUAGGCUCGAGGGAGAUAGGGGUCUGCGGAACUUCUGGUGGAGCGGUGAAAUGCGUUGAUAUCAGAAGGAACGCCGGUGGCGAAAGCGGCGGACUGGAUCUCUUCUGACGCUGAGGCGCGAAAGCUAGGGGAGCAAACGGGAUUAGAUACCCCGGUAGUCCUAGCCCUAAACGUUGGGUACUAGAUUGUAAGUCUGACAUGGGCCUACAGUCGAAGCAAAAGUGUUAAGUACCCCGCCUGGGGAGUAUGGUCGCAAGGCUG
Molecule: ribosomal RNA, 376 nt
Filed under: uncultured bacterium
Lineage: Bacteria
Description: bacterial SSU rRNA
Rfam family: Bacterial small subunit ribosomal RNA
Source: RNAcentral